RNAcentral lists this long non-coding RNA (425 nucleotides) under Papio anubis (olive baboon). Its description in RNAcentral is "lncRNA (ENSPANG00000042142.1)". Lineage: Eukaryota; Metazoa; Chordata; Mammalia; Primates; Cercopithecidae. The record is from RNAcentral.
GUUUAUGCAAACAUCAAAUGUAGCAUCCCACAUGGCAGCAGCAGAAAGGCACUGGGGUAGAAGAUGAGUGAUAAUGAGGUUAUCCCGGAAUGCAGUUGGUUGGCUGGCAUGCAAAGAAUGAACAUGAUGGCCGAGGGAGGCUUCACCUGUACCAGUGUUUGGAAUGUCCCGUUCUGUGUCGUCCUGGAAGUUUUUACACCAUAAUUCAGUUCACAGUGUGUGAGAGGUUGGUUUCCAACUCCUGGCCUCAAGUGAUCCUCCUGCCUCAGCCUCCAAAGCGGUAUGAUUGCAGACAUGAGCCACUGUGCCCAGCUGAGGUUAUUUUCUAUGUAAAUCUUGAUGUUCUGGAAUUGGCGUUCUGUUUUUCCUCUGUUAAUAUAUGUUUGGAGGUGGUGAUUAAAUCUACGAUUGCAUCCAUAAUGUGA